This is a long non-coding RNA of Acinonyx jubatus (cheetah), 1847 nucleotides long. RefSeq lists it as uncharacterized. The transcript has 4 exons. The record is from RefSeq and is a predicted model, not a curated record. Lineage: Eukaryota; Metazoa; Chordata; Mammalia; Carnivora; Felidae.
GGUGGGGUUCUCGGGGCCCGCCGGGGACCGGCCUGCCGGGGUGGCGCCGUGGGGAUGCCGAGGUAUAACCUGGCAUAGGACAGGGUACUGACCUUAGGAGUGACGGGAAGACCUGUGAUCUCACAGGGGUCUGGCAGCUCUGCGGGGACCUUAGCUCAUUUGCUGGAGGGGCAUCUUUCCUUGUGGUGUUAGGUCCCCGAAUCUCCCCCUUCCGCCCUCCCAACCCCCGCCCCGGCAUUACUCACAAUAAGGGAGCACUAGUGGCCUGGGGUGAGCUAACAUCCUGAGAAUUUUCCUGCUCUGUUUUCUAGAGCCUCAGAGCCACCAGGAGCUCUAGACAAAAUUGUGGGGGAUGAUACGGCUACCGAUGACCUGAGAAUUGGCCUAAGAAUUGUGGAUUUGGGGGUCCACAGGAUUGCCUCUGAGCUGGACAUUUCUGCUCACUUAGCCAGGACACCUGCCACUCUGCCUUAGCCUUUACUUCCUGCUUGCAUGGGGCCCAGAGAUCAACCAAAGAUGCCACCUGGGGAGCUGCUCCAGCCAGGCGAUGAAGCAAAGGUCAGAUCCUUCAGAGAACUGCCAGCCUGGUCAAAAUGCACAACCACACUUUUAAAACAAAGUCCAUAUCAGGGCCCCAGGGAUUCAGGCUACUGUCGUCUGGGCUUUUGCUGGGCUGGGGAAUGGGAGACGGUAGGCAGAGUACGGAAGUGGUAGCCAGAGCUCAGGCCGCCAUCUUGGACUGUGAUGCCCACGAGGAUGGAGAAGCACAGAAUGGAAGGAGAGCUAGCCACUGUGGAGGCAUUAGCCUACCAACUUUGUCUCAGGGGUGGAAAAACAACCCUUAUCUUGUUUAGGUCAUUAUUUUUUGUUUUGUUUUGUUUUUUUCUUGUUUUUUUUUUUAAGUGUAUUUAUUUGAGAGAGACAGAGGCAGCGUGAGUGGGGAGGGGCAGAGAGAGAGAGGGAGAGGGAGAGAAUCCCAAGCAAGCUCUGCACUGCCAUCGCAGAGCCCGGCGCGGGGCUCGAACUCACAAAACUGUGAGACCAUGACCGGAGCCCAAACCAAGAGUUAGACGCUUAACCGACUGAGCCAUCCAGGUGCCCCUAGGUCAUUGUUGUUUGGGGAUUCCCUCACAUGCAGCUGAACGGUGCUUGCAUAAUUCAGCAGACCUUUCCAGCCCCAUUCCCCAUGCCACCAGCUCCCCUCAACUGCCCUUGUAAAGCAUUCACUGCAAGCUAGUACAAGGGCCCGCUCACUUGUCUCUCCUGCUCUCCGAGAACAUCUCCAGACCUGGGACUGGUUCUUUCUUGGAUUCUUGCCAUGAGAUCAGCUUCUUUAAGGCAAGAAAGGGAGGGAUUGGGAAUGAUCGCUGGCUGGGUGCCAACUGUAUGCGCUGUACAUUUUAUUUGUCUUACUUGUUGGAGUGGCCCUGUGAGGGGCAGCGCAGGACUCUUGCUCUCGGGGAAACAGAGGUUCACAGACGCAAAGCUGCUUCUCAGAUGCGCAUAGAUGAAGAGCGAUAGCACUAAGUGUGGAACUCGGGUCUGCCUGGCCUGACACAGGCCUCUCUCCCCCGCUAGAAGUUUCCGUGUCAGCGCACCAGCCAAGUGACCCUUGACGAAUUAAUUCCCUCCGUGGUUCUCCUUUAAGGUCAUCACUGUCAGCUGCUUUUCACAUGCUGGUUUGAGAGGGAUCAAGAAAUGCCUUCCCAAACCUGCUGCCCUUUGGGAAGGCAGGGCUUCUGCCUCCGGCUUUGGUGUUCAGGACGUUGUGUGUUCUUUAAUUUUUUAUUUUUAAAAAAAUGUGUAUUUUGUUUAGUUUGAGAGAGAGAGAGAGCACACCAGCAGGG